This 497-nucleotide ribosomal RNA is filed under the name uncultured bacterium. RNAcentral's name for it is "partial 16S ribosomal RNA". It matches the Rfam family "Bacterial small subunit ribosomal RNA", at positions 28 to 507 of the family's 1533-position model. The record is from RNAcentral.
GAUGAACGCUGGCGGCAUGCCUAAUACAUGCAAGUCGAGCGAAAAGACGAGGAGCUUGCCCCUCUGACGUUAGCGGCGGGCGGAUUAGUAACACAUGGAUCACCUCCCUAUAAGACUGGGAUAACAACGGGAACCCGGAGCUAAUACCGGAUAAUAUAUAGAACCGCAUGGUUCAAUAGUGAAAGACGGUUUUGCGGUCACUUAUAGAUGGAUCCGCGGCUCAUUAGCUAGUUGGUAAGGUAACGGCUUACCAAGGCAACGAUGCGUAGCCGACCUGAGAGGGUGACCGGCCACACUGGAACUGAGACACGGCCCAGACUCCUACGGGAGGCAGCAGUAGGGAAUUUUCGGCAAUGGGCGAAAGCCUGAUGGAGCAACGCCGCGUGAGUGAUGAAGGUCUUCGGAUCGUAAACCGCUGUUGUUAGGGAAGAACAGAUGUGGAGUAAACCAUGCGGGUCAUGACGGUACCGAAAGAGAAAGCACCGGCUAACUACGUG